This 563-nucleotide ribosomal RNA is filed under the name uncultured bacterium. RNAcentral's name for it is "partial 16S ribosomal RNA". It matches the Rfam family "Bacterial small subunit ribosomal RNA", at positions 355 to 1375 of the family's 1533-position model. The record is from RNAcentral.
UGGGGAAUAUUGGACAAUGGGCGAAAGCCUGAUCCAGCAAUGCCGCGUGAGUGAUGAAGGCCUUAGGGUUGUAAAGCUCUUUUACCAGGGAUGAUAAUGACAGUACCUGGAGAAUAAGCUCCGGCUAACUCCGUGCCAGCAGCCGCGGUAAUACGGAGGGAGCUAGCGUUGUUCGGAAUUACUGGGCGUAAAGCGCACGUAGGCGGCCAUUCAAGUCAGAGGUGAAAGCCCGGGGCUCAACCCCGGAACUGCCUUUGAAACUAGAUGGCUUGAAUCUUGGAGAGGCGAGUGGAAUUCCGAGUGUAGAGGUGAAAUUCGUAGAUAUUCGGAAGAACACCAGUGGCGAAGGCGACUCGCUGGACAAGUAUUGACGCUGAGGUGCGAAAAGCGUGGGGAGCAAAACAGGAUUAGAUACCCUGGUAGUCCACGCCAUAAACGAUGAUAACUAGCUGUCCGGGUUCAUGGAACUUGGGUGGCGCAGCUAACGCAUUAAGCUAUCCGCCUGGGGAGUACGGUCGCAAGAUUAAAACUCAAAGGAAUUGACGGGGUCAUAGCUGUUUCCU